Unclassified non-coding RNA from Nomascus leucogenys (northern white-cheeked gibbon), 328 nucleotides. Its record names the gene 7SK. It matches the Rfam family "7SK RNA". Rfam says of the family: 7SK was discovered as an abundant small nuclear RNA in the mid-70s but a possible function has only recently been suggested. Two independent studies have found that 7SK RNA binds the CDK9/cyclin T complex (known as elongation factor P-TEFb). The record is from Ensembl. NCBI's taxonomy places the organism in Eukaryota, Metazoa, Chordata, Mammalia, Primates, Hylobatidae.
AGAUGCGAGGGUGAUCGGGCUGUGACACAUCCGUCACCCCAUUGAUCUCCAGGGUUGAUUCGGCUGAUCUGGCUGGCUUAGCGGGUGUCCCCUUCCUCCCUCACUGCUCCAUGUGCAUCUCUCCCGAAGCUGCACACUCGGUCAAAAAGAACGACCAUCCCCAACAGAGGAGGAACAGUCUUCGGUCAAGGGUGUACGAGCAGCUGUACUCCCCUGCUAGAACUUCCAAACAAGCUCUCAAGAGAUUUCAGUAAAAUAUGGCUGGGCUCAGUGGCUCACGCCUGUAAUCCCAGCACUUUGGGAGACCAAGGUGGGCGGAUCACCUGAG